Rhododendron vialii is the source of this 194-nucleotide long non-coding RNA. RefSeq lists it as uncharacterized. NCBI's taxonomy places the organism in Eukaryota, Viridiplantae, Streptophyta, Magnoliopsida, Ericales, Ericaceae. The transcript is spliced from 2 exons. The record is from RefSeq and is a predicted model, not a curated record.
UUGAAGCGUAGAAACUGCCGUCACUGUGCAAACUUCUUCUUCCUUUUUCAGGCUGGGAAUAAAAUAGGCGACCAUCUAACAAUUUACACACAUUGCGAACGCAAUAAACUGAAGCUUCUUUACAAGGUCGCUAUUUGCUAGGUUUAUCGUAGGCGUCUUCUGAUGUCUCAUUCUUCUAAUUUGUACUUUGGUAU